AGUCUGAUCCAGCCAUGCCGCGUGCAGGAUGACGGCCCUCUGGGUUGUAAACUGCUUUUAUAUGAGAAGAAA
RNAcentral lists this ribosomal RNA (72 nucleotides) under uncultured bacterium. RNAcentral's name for it is "partial 16S ribosomal RNA". The record is from RNAcentral.